UACGGAGGGCGCAAGCGUUGUUCGGAAUCACUGGGCGUAAAGCGCGUGCAGGCGGCUUGGUAAGUCGGGUGUGAAAUCCCGGAGCUCAACUCCGGAACUGCACCCGGUACUGCCUCGCUAGAGUCCCGGAGAGGAUGGCGGAAUUUCCGGUGUAGAGGUGAAAUUCGUAGAUAUCGGAAGGAACACCAGCGGCGAAGGCGGCCAUCUGGACGGUGACUGACGCUCAGACGCGAAAGCGCGGGGAGCAAACAGG
RNAcentral lists this ribosomal RNA (253 nucleotides) under uncultured bacterium. RNAcentral describes it as "partial 16S ribosomal RNA". It matches the Rfam family "Bacterial small subunit ribosomal RNA", at positions 524 to 776 of the family's 1533-position model. The record is from RNAcentral.